AAACCAAUUCAAGUAUAAUGUGACAAUGAACUGGUGAAGACUAUAAAUAAGUUUUAUAAGUUUCAGUUAAGCAAAUAUUUAGUUUUUAAAUGUGGAAAAUGAGGAUAGUAAUUCACAUAAUUUAGAGUUAAAAUGAAGGCUAUCGUUUGACAUGAACCAAAUAAGCAGAUUACUAUCGGAUAUUUGGGAUAAAUAUGGGGUUUUAGCAAUUUGAGUUAUUGCCAUAUCACUUUGUGUCCUUCUACGUCCGUUAACUGCUAAUUUUCAUUUCAACUGUGAAACUGCUCGUUCUAUAUGUUUUAAUCAAACUUGACAAGAAUGAUGUACAUACUUUGUAAUCUAUAGAAGCAAUGUUGAAAAAGAGCAUAGUGUGUACUAAUAAUCUUAAAUCGUGUGGUAUAUA
This 403-nucleotide long non-coding RNA is filed under the name Mytilus galloprovincialis (Mediterranean mussel). Lineage: Eukaryota; Metazoa; Mollusca; Bivalvia; Mytilida; Mytilidae. The record is from RNAcentral.